UGUGUGUGUAUGUGUGUGUGUGUGUGUGUAUGUGCAAAUGAGCAUACACAUGUACACACACACACAUACACACACAUACACACACACACACA
This 92-nucleotide microRNA precursor is filed under the name Mus musculus (house mouse). RNAcentral's name for it is "predicted gene, 55894 (ENSMUSG00002074927.1)". Lineage: Eukaryota; Metazoa; Chordata; Mammalia; Rodentia; Muridae. The record is from RNAcentral.